Molecule: long non-coding RNA, 3235 nt
Filed under: Callithrix jacchus (white-tufted-ear marmoset)
Lineage: Eukaryota; Metazoa; Chordata; Mammalia; Primates; Cebidae
Description: lncRNA (ENSCJAG00000083864.1)
Source: RNAcentral
AUCAAGUUGUAUGUUUUGGGAGUCUCUGCCUUCCUUCCUGCAGACAGAGAGGUGUUCCAGCAGGACUGGCUGCAUCAUUAAAGCAAUCAACUUCAUCAAGCCCCAUUUUCUCAUCUGAAAAUGACAUCAAAUUUAAGUUAGGAGCUUAUUAAUUUAAAAAAAAGUGGCCCGGUGCCCUGUGGAGGAUGUUAUUUCCAUAUGAAAAUUUGCACCAACUACAUUUCGGCAUUGGGCUACAAACUCAGAGAGAGGUAUUAUUAUUAGGUCACUGUGGCAUCUGGGAAAAUGUUUUAUUCUACAGGAUAUGAUCCUCAGAUCAUGUUUAAAGUAUUAGAUAGAAGAACAGAGAAAACACAAAGUUUGCAGAUGCUUCUAAAGUGAGCAACAGACAAAAACGAAACCUAUCCAAGUUUGAAAGUAAGUGGGCAAGGUGAAGUGUUCUAAUUCAAAGACAAACUAAACCAUGUGUAUCAGUGCAUUUUCUGUUGCUUAUAACGGAAUACCUACAGCUGGGUAAUUUUCUUAUUUAAACAACAUUUAUUUCUUACAGUUAUGGAGGCUGAGAAGUUACAGUUUGAGAAGCCGCAUCUGCUGAGAGCCUUCUUGAUGAUGGGGAUUGCUGAGGAGUCCUUGAGGCAGCCCAGGGUAUCACAUGCCAAGGUCACUGAGGGUGCUACCUCAGGAACUGCGAAUACUAGAGUGACCUCGGAUAUCUCAUCUGGAAGAUGGUAGCACUGCCAUCAGCUUGGGUGUCCAAAUGACCUCAUGGAUCACAGCUACCAUGGCCUGGAAUGCUGACCUUGGAGCUGCUUUAAGAGAAAAAUUAACUUCUUUGUUCUUUGAGCCACAUCAUUAUUAGGUCUCUUCUCAAAGCCACUUAACCACUUUUUCUAUCUCAUGAAGCUCUGAAAUUUUGUUUGGUUUCUGGAGUCAAAACAUUCAUUUGUUUCUUCUUUAUUCAACAAGAAUCAAUGAUUGGGGGCUCAUACCAGUUGUCCUGGUGCUUGAGGAAGUGAGGCUAUGCAUUCAAGGCCAACGUGGGCACCAUAAGAACCUCUCAUUCGUUAAAAAAAAAAUUGUUUAUUUUAUUGAAGCCACGAUUCCAAAGAGAAGAAUAGAAAAAAACAUUAGCCUUAUGGAUCUUUUGUCCUGGAAACAACACAGAGUGGAGACUAUUGGACUUUUCAAUAAAGUUCCUUUCCUGAGCAGUGCCAGCCCACUCCUAAUUUCCAGACUUGGUUAAGAUUAGACCAGGGUGCUGAAGAGUCAAAACAUCUAGAUUUUUUUGGCCUCAUUCUGCUUAUAGCCCCACAAAAACUACCCCAUAAAGUUUCUUGCUUGAGAUUUCAGACAAUUCUCAUAUGUUUUAUCAGAAUACACUCUGUAUUUCAUCCAACCAUAUAGCCUUUGGCUCCUACUUCAAGCAUUAAGAAUGGACCAUUUUUGGUAUGGAAAAUUAUCAGUUUUUGGGGAAAAGCCCCUAUUUCUCUGAUCUGUGCUCUGGAUUUGGCAGCUUCAUAGGCUUUCUCAAAGAGCCACAACUGCGAACCAUGGUGUGCUGUCACUAUCUCUGUGAAGCAUGGUGUGCUGUUAUUAUCGAUGCUCUGUGCAUUGGAAAUCCUGUGUGAGACUGGCAGAGGAUAGAGGGAAUGAAGAAAUCACAUUCGCCAGAAUGAGCUGCUCAAUUUCCUUAAGGAAGGAGUGUGUCUAACAUCCAGUGGUUUCCUUCGAGAGAGAGUGCGUACUUUCUUAACAUACGGACAAGAUUAGUACAUAGACAGAAUCACUGUCUGCAGAUCUUAGGCUGCUUUUCAGAGGCAGCUUUAAUCUUCCUAAUUGAAUGUUUAGCUUUUCCAGACCUGCACAAAAUGUAAUCAUGAUGUAAAAUAAUAGGACAGCACGUAAUCUCAUUGCAAUAUUUCAUAAUUAAUAUUAAAUGACUAAAAUCUAUUAAACUCAAUCAUUUUAAACUAAACUUCUAAUCUUCCCCAUUGCAGGUGAUGGCAACUCCAACUUUAUCAUUGCAUAGGCCAAAAACGUGAUGUCAUCCUUGACUCUUCUUUCUCUCGUAUCUCACAAGCAACUCAUCAGAAAAUCCUGUCAGCUCUGUUGCUUUCAAAAUUUAUUGAGAAUAUGAUUCCUUUGCAUCACCUCCACUGCUACCACUCUGGUGGAGCUGCCAACAUCUCUCACAUAGAUUAAGUUUUACACACACACACACACCAGAGUGUACUCUCAAUCAAACUGAUCUUUUUAAUAGGGAAGUAAGAUCAUUCAACUCCUCUGUCCAAAAACUUUCAAAUGGCUCUUCACUAAGCCCAAGUCCAUACAAGGACCUGUAAAAGCCCCAUUACCUUCUGACCUCGUUGCCUCCUACUUUGCUCUCUUACUGAGAUCCUGCCCCAGUGGCUUCCUUGUUGCUCCUGGGGCAAAUAAGGCAUGGUCUUGUUAUUUGCUUUAACUCUUUCUCAGUGUCCUUUCCUUGAUGUCUGCUUGGAUAUCUCCCUCACCUUCUUUAAGACUUAGCUUACAUAUGCAGGAGACUUAAUUAGACCUUUAUCUUUUACCACAUACAAAAAUUAACUUGAGAUGAAUUAAAAAUUUAAAGGUAAGACCUCAAAUUCUAAAAAUUAUAGAAGAAAAUGUAGGAAAUACUCUUCUCAAUGUCAGUCUUGGAAAAGAAUUGAUGGGUAAGUCCUCAAAAGCAAUUGCAACAAAAAAAAUUGACAAGUAGGAUCUAAUUAAACAAGAGGUUUUGUGCAGCAAAAGAAACUAGCAACAGAAUUGUCAACCUACAGAAUGAGAGAAAAUAUUUGCAAACUAUGCAGCCAACAAAGGUCUAAUACCCAGAAUCAAUAAGGAAAUUAAACAAAUUAACAAGCAACAAACAACCCCAUUAAAAAGUGGACAAAGGACAUGAAUAGUCAGUUCUCAAAAGAAGACAUACAAGCAGCCAACAAACAUGAAAAAAUGCUCACCAUCACUAAUAAUCAGAGAAAAGCAAAUUAAAACCGUAAUGAGAUAUUGUCUCACACCAGUCACAAUGGCUAUUAUUAAAACGCCAGAAAAUUAACAGAUGCGGUCAAGGCUGCAGAAAACAGGGGACACUUACACACUUUGAGUGGGAAUAUAAAUUAGUCCGACCACUGUGGAAAGCAGUUUGGAGAUUUCUCAAAGAACUUAAACCAGAACUACCAUUGACCCAGCAAUACCAUUAUUAGGUAUAUACCCAAAG